This 99-nucleotide non-coding RNA is filed under the name Caldibacillus thermoamylovorans. Its description in RNAcentral is "Bacillus thermoamylovorans c-di-GMP sequence". It matches the Rfam family "c-di-GMP-I riboswitch aptamer". Rfam says of the family: GEMM was predicted in a large-scale screen for bacterial structured RNA regulatory elements. Genes associated with GEMM are involved in a diverse array of functions, including chemotaxis regulation, signal transduction, secretion and chitin. The record is from Rfam by way of RNAcentral. Lineage: Bacteria; Bacillati; Bacillota; Bacilli; Caryophanales; Bacillaceae.
AAUAUUUUAGGGCAAACUAUUCGAAAGGAUAGGACGCAAAGCCUAGGGUCUAAGGUUGGAAAUUCAAAGAUUUUCUACUAUGAUCGCCUGGUUGCCAAC